GCAAGUCGAGCGCUUCCUUCGGGAAGAGCGGCGGACGGGUUAGUAACGCGUGGGAACGUACCCUUCACUACGGAAUAGCCAUUGGAAACGAUGAAUAAUACCGUAUACGCCCUUCGGGGGAAAGAAUUUCGGUGAUGGAUCGGCCCGCGUUAGAUUAGGUAGUUGGUGAGGUAAUGGCUCACCAAGCCUACGAUCUAUAGCUGGUUUGAGAGGAUGAUC
RNAcentral lists this ribosomal RNA (219 nucleotides) under uncultured bacterium. Its description in RNAcentral is "partial 16S ribosomal RNA". It matches the Rfam family "Bacterial small subunit ribosomal RNA", at positions 57 to 305 of the family's 1533-position model. The record is from RNAcentral.